GACGAACGCUGGCGGCGUGCCUAAUACAUGCAAGUCGAGCGGAAGUUGGAGAGCUUGCUCUUCAACUUUAGCGGCGGACGGGUGAGUAACACGUGGGCAACCUGCCCUGCAGAUCGGGAUAACUCCGGGAAACCGGUGCUAAUACCGAAUAGUUUUCGCCACCUCCUGGUGGCGUACGGAAAGACGGUUUCGGCUGUCACUGCAGGAUGGGCCCGCGGCGCAUUAGCUAGUUGGUGGGGUAACGGCCCACCAAGGCAACGAUGCGUAGCCGAACUGAGGGGGUGAUCGGCCACACUGGGACUGAGACACGGCCCAGACUCCUACGGGAGGCAGCAGUAGGGAAUCUUCCGCAAUGGACGAAAGUCUGACGGAGCAACGCCGCGUGAGUGACGAAGGUUUUCGGAUCGUAAAACUCUGUUGUGAGGGAAGAACAAGUACCAACUAACUACUGGUACCUUGACGGUACCUCACCAGAAAGCCACGGCUAACUACGUGCCAGCAGCCGCGGUAA
This 511-nucleotide ribosomal RNA is filed under the name uncultured bacterium. RNAcentral describes it as "partial 16S ribosomal RNA". It matches the Rfam family "Bacterial small subunit ribosomal RNA", at positions 28 to 523 of the family's 1533-position model. The record is from RNAcentral.